AAUAGUAAUAGUGAAAUGUAUAUAGAAUUGGUAUAAAACAAAUUGGAUAUUGGUAGCUUGAAAAGGUAGAUAUUCGAUUCACGAAAGCUUGAGGUGUGACAGGGAUUUGAGACCCCUUUAAUUCGAGACUGAAAUUAUGCAGGCAAUGUUUGUGGAUCUCUUUUUAACAAAUAAAGGUUCUUUUCCUAAGGAGUACGCUUUCACUUGUGAAACUUAAAUGUUCUGGUGGUGGUUUAGAACAAUAGUGGAAUAGAUGAUUUAAUUCGAUGAAAUGCGAUAAAGCUUAUCUGUUAUCUGAAAUAAUACCUAGGUAUAGGUAGAAUUCUAUUCGAGGUAGUGCAUGGCUGUUGGAGGGUAAUGUUUUGUAAUAUCUGGUUUCGGACAGGAAUAGCCGAUACACUUUUAGUUGU
RNAcentral lists this ribosomal RNA (410 nucleotides) under Mucochytrium quahogii. RNAcentral's name for it is "labyrinthulid quahog parasite QPX partial Bacterial small subunit ribosomal RNA". It matches the Rfam family "Bacterial small subunit ribosomal RNA", at positions 671 to 1114 of the family's 1533-position model. Lineage: Eukaryota; Bigyra; Thraustochytrida; Thraustochytriidae. The record is from RNAcentral.